This 870-nucleotide ribosomal RNA is filed under the name Panus fulvus. RNAcentral describes it as "partial large subunit ribosomal RNA". It matches the Rfam family "Eukaryotic large subunit ribosomal RNA", at positions 81 to 937 of the family's 3401-position model. The record is from RNAcentral. Lineage: Eukaryota; Fungi; Basidiomycota; Agaricomycetes; Polyporales; Panaceae.
UAGUAACUGCGAGUGAAGCGGGAAAAGCUCAAAUUUAAAAUCUGGCAGUCUUUGGCUGUCCGAAUUGUAUUCUGGAGAAGCGUCUUCCGCGCUGGACCGUGUACAAGUCUCUUGGAAUAGAGCGUCAUAGAGGGUGAGAAUCCCGUCUUUGACACGGACUACCAGUGCUUUGUGAUGCGCUCUCAAAGAGUCGAGUUGUUUGGGAAUGCAGCUCAAAAUGGGUGGUGAAUUCCAUCUAAAGCUAAAUAUUGGCGAGAGACCGAUAGCGAACAAGUACCGUGAGGGAAAGAUGAAAAGCACUUUGGAAAGAGAGUUAAACAGUACGUGAAAUUGCUGAAAGGGAAACGCUUGAAGUCAGUCGCGUCAUCCAGAACUCAGCCUGGCUUCUGCCUGGUGUACUUUCUGGUUGACGGGCCAGCAUCAGUUUUGACCGCUGGAAAAAGGCCAUGGGAAUGUGGCACCUUCGGGUGUGUUAUAGCCUGUGGUCAUAUACAGCGGUUGGGACUGAGGACCGCAGCACGCCUUUAUGGUUGGGGUUCGCCCACAUUCGUGCUUAGGAUGCUGGCGUAAUGGCUUUAAACGACCCGUCUUGAAACACGGACCAAGGAGUCUAACAUGCCUGCGAGUGUUUGGGUGGAAAACCCGAGCGCACAAUGAAAGUGAAAGUUGGGAUCCCUGUCGUGGGGAGCACCGACGCCCGGACCAGACCUUUUGUGACGGAUCCGCGGUAGAGCAUGUAUGUUGGGACCCGAAAGAUGGUGAACUAUGCCUGAAUAGGGUGAAGCCAGAGGAAACUCUGGUGGAGGCUCGUAGCGAUUCUGACGUGCAAAUCGAUCGUCAAAUUUGGGUAUAGGGGCGAAAGACUAAUCG